Molecule: non-coding RNA, 164 nt
Filed under: bovine gut metagenome
Description: Lysine riboswitch
Rfam family: Lysine riboswitch aptamer
About the family: Riboswitches are metabolite binding domains within certain messenger RNAs that serve as precision sensors for their corresponding targets. Allosteric rearrangement of mRNA structure is mediated by ligand binding, and this results in modulation of gene expression.
Source: RNAcentral
GAGAUAGAGGUUGCGUGCUUUGAAGAGUAGCUUCCGGAUGCGGCGGCGCAUGUGAAGGAGGCGAAAGGCAGGCGCGCCGAAGGGUGCGGCAGACCGCGGGCCGUAUGCCUGGGCGUAUGGUCAAGAGCCAUGCGACUGUCAUCGAUGAGAUGGGGCGCUAUCCG